Molecule: ribosomal RNA, 494 nt
Filed under: uncultured bacterium
Lineage: Bacteria
Description: partial 16S ribosomal RNA
Rfam family: Bacterial small subunit ribosomal RNA
Source: RNAcentral
GACGAACGCUGGCGGCGUGCUUAACACAUGCAAGUCGAACGGAAAGGCCUGCUUUCCCUUGUGGAUUGCGGGUACUCGAGUGGCGAACGGGUGAGUAACACGUGAGUGAUCUGCCCCCAACUUGGGUAUAAGCCUGGGAAACUGGGUCUAAUUCCCGAUAGGACUGCAGGGUGGUGCCUGUGGUGGAAAACGAUUUUCUAGUGGUUGGGGAUGAGCUCGCGGCCUAUCAGCUUGUUGGUGGGGUAAUGGCCUACCAAGGCGGCGACGGGUAGCCGGCCUGGGAGGGUGGACGGCCAAAUUGGGACUGAGAUACGGCCCAGACUCCUACGGGAGGCAGCAGUGGGGAAUAUUGGACAAUGGGCGGAAGCCUGAUGCAGCGACGCAGCGUGGGGGAUGACGGCCUUCGGGUGGUAAACUCCUUUCGACCGCGAGGAAGCCACCUGGUUGGAAGGGUGGUGACGGUAGUGGUAGAAGAAGCACCGGCUAACUACGUG